UAGCUUGUGGUGUAAUGGCAGCAUGGAAGACUUUGAAUCUUUCGGUACAGGUUCAAAUCCUGUCAAGUUAACCA
This 74-nucleotide transfer RNA is filed under the name Nonlabens dokdonensis. RNAcentral describes it as "tRNA-Gln". It matches the Rfam family "tRNA". From Rfam's summary of the family: Transfer RNA (tRNA) molecules are approximately 80 nucleotides in length. Their secondary structure includes four short double-helical elements and three loops (D, anti-codon, and T loops). Further hydrogen bonds mediate the characteristic L-shaped molecular structure. tRNAs have two regions of fundamental functional importance: the anti-codon, which is responsible for specific mRNA codon recognition, and the 3' end, to which the tRNAs corresponding amino acid is attached (by aminoacyl-tRNA synthetases). tRNAs cope with the degeneracy of the genetic code in two manners: having more than one tRNA (with a specific anti-codon) for a particular amino acid; and 'wobble' base-pairing, i.e. permitting non-standard base-pairing at the 3rd anti-codon position. Lineage: Bacteria; Pseudomonadati; Bacteroidota; Flavobacteriia; Flavobacteriales; Flavobacteriaceae. RNAcentral also lists the same sequence under 1 other name. The record is from RNAcentral.